RNAcentral lists this ribosomal RNA (596 nucleotides) under uncultured delta proteobacterium. RNAcentral describes it as "bacterial SSU rRNA". It matches the Rfam family "Bacterial small subunit ribosomal RNA", at positions 329 to 915 of the family's 1533-position model. Lineage: Bacteria; Deltaproteobacteria. The record is from RNAcentral.
AGAGUCACUCCUACGGGAGGCAGCAGUGGGGAAUAUUGCGCAAUGGGCGAAAGCCUGACGCAGCAACGCCGCGUGAGUGAUGAAGGCCUUCGGGUCGUAAAGCUCUGUCGGAGGGAACGAAUGCUUUUGAGGUUAACAGCCUCAGAAAGUGACGGUACCCUCAAAGGAAGCACCGGCUAACUCUGUGCCAGCAGCCGCGGUAAUACAGAGGGUGCAAGCGUUGUUCGGAAUUACUGGGCGUAAAGGGCGCGUAGGCGGCCUGUUAAGUCGAACGUGAAAUCCCCGGGCUCAACCCGGGAACUGCGUCCGAUACUGGCAGGCUUGAAUCCGGGAGAGGGAUGCGGAAUUCCAGGUGUAGCGGUGAAAUGCGUAGAUAUCUGGAGGAACACCGGUGGCGAAAGCGGCUUCCUGGUCCAGCACCGACGUUCAGGCACGAAAGCGUGGGGAGCAAACAGGAUUAGAUACCCCGGUAGUCCACGCUGUAAACGAUGAGCACUAGGUGUGGGGGGGUUCAGUCCCUUCCGUGCCGCAGCUAACGCAUUAAGUGCUCCGCCUGGGGAGUACGGCCGCAAGGUUGAAACUUAAAGGAAUUGACG